Molecule: unclassified non-coding RNA, 151 nt
Organism: Callithrix jacchus (white-tufted-ear marmoset)
Lineage: Eukaryota; Metazoa; Chordata; Mammalia; Primates; Cebidae
Rfam family: Metazoan signal recognition particle RNA
About the family: The signal recognition particle (SRP) is a universally conserved ribonucleoprotein. It is involved in the co-translational targeting of proteins to membranes.
Source: Ensembl
GCUGGGCAUGGUGGCGCGUGCCUGUAAUCCCAGCUACUCAGGAGGCUGAGGCAGGAGAAUUGCCUGAACCCAGGAGGCGGAGGUUGCGGUGAGCCGAGAUCACGCCAUUGCACUCUCCAGCCUGGGUAACAGGAGCGAAACUCUGCCUCAA